UACGUAGGGUGCAAGCGUUAAUCGGAAUUACUGGGCGUAAAGCGUGCGCAGGCGGUUUUGUAAGUCUGUUGUGAAAUCCCCGGGCUUAACCUGGGAAUUGCAAUGGAGACUGCAAGGCUGGAGUCUGGCAGAGGGGGGUAGAAUUCCACGUGUAGCAGUGAAAUGCGUAGAGAUGUGGAGGAACACCGAUGGCGAAGGCAGCCCCCUGGGUCAAGACUGACGCUCAUGCACGAAAGCGUGGGGAGCAAACAGG
This 253-nucleotide ribosomal RNA is filed under the name uncultured bacterium. RNAcentral's name for it is "partial 16S ribosomal RNA". It matches the Rfam family "Bacterial small subunit ribosomal RNA", at positions 524 to 776 of the family's 1533-position model. The record is from RNAcentral.